This 383-nucleotide ribosomal RNA is filed under the name uncultured eukaryote. RNAcentral describes it as "partial 18S ribosomal RNA". It matches the Rfam family "Eukaryotic small subunit ribosomal RNA", at positions 592 to 976 of the family's 1831-position model. The record is from RNAcentral.
CAAUAGCGUAUAUUAAAGUUGUUGCAGUUAAAAAGCUCGUAGUUGGAUUUCUGGUGGGAGCGAUCGGUCUGGCGCUUAGCGCGAGUACUUGCAUCGUCUCCGGCCAUCCUUGGGGAGAGUCUGUCUGGCAUUAAGUUGUCGGGCAGAGGAUCCUCAUCGUUUACUGUGAAAAAAUUAGAGUGUUCAAAGCAGGCUUAUGCCGUUGAAUAUAUUAGCAUGGAAUAAUAAGAUAGGACUUUGGUACUAUUUUGUUGGUUUGCGCAUCAAAGUAAUGAUUAAUAGGGACAGUUGGGGGUAUUCGUAUUCCGUUGUCAGAGGUGAAAUUCUUGGAUUUACGGAAGACGAACUACUGCGAAAGCAUUUACCAAGGAUGUUUUCAUUAA